RNAcentral lists this long non-coding RNA (9917 nucleotides) under Triticum aestivum (bread wheat). Its description in RNAcentral is "long non-coding RNA (TAES_LNC023237)". Lineage: Eukaryota; Viridiplantae; Streptophyta; Magnoliopsida; Poales; Poaceae. The record is from RNAcentral.
GUGGUGUGUUUACCUAUGUUGUGUGCUUCUUCUUGUUAGUUCCUGUUUCGUUGCGAUCGUGAGGAUCCGUUCGUCUUCUUCAUGGACUCGUUCUUCUUCCUUGCGGGAUUUCGGGCAAGAUGACCGCUACCCUGUAUCUCACUACUAUCAUUUCUAUGCUAGUUGCCUCGUUCUUUCGCUAUGCUGCGCUACCUAUUACCUGUUUGUCCAGCCAUCCCAAAUUGCCAUGAACCUCUAACCUUUGACACCAUUCCUAGCAAACCGUUGUUUGGCUAUGUUACCGCUUUGCUCAGACCCUCUUAUAGCGUUGCUAGUUGCAGGUGAAGUUGAAGAUUUCUCCAUGGUGGACAGGGUUUAUGUUGGGAUAUCACAAUAUCUCUUAUAAUACUAAUGCAUCUAUAUAUUUGGUAAAGGGUGGAAGGCUCGGCCUUAUGCCUGGUGUUUUGUUCCACUCUUGCCGCCCUAGUUUCCGUCAUACCGGUGUUAUGUUCCCGGAUUUUGUGUUCCUAACGCGGUCGGGUGAUUUAUGGGACCCCCUUGACAGUUCGCUUUGAAUAAAACUUGUCCAGCAAGGCCCAACAUUGACUUUUACCAUUUGCCUCACCACCACCUACUUUUCCCUUGGGAGUAAUUAACCCAAGGGUCAUAUUUAUUAUAGCCCCCCCGGGCCAGUGCUUGUCUAAGCGUUGGUCCAAACUAGAGCACCGUGCGGGACCAUCCCUUGGCAACUUGGGUUACGUCGGUACCUGUACGCUUCGCUUAUCCGGUGUUGCCCUGAGAACGAGAUAUGUGCAGCUCCUAUCGGGAUUGUCGGCACAUCGGGCGGCUUUGCUGGUCUUGUUUUACCAUUGUCGAAAUGUCUUGAUGUACCGGGAUACCGAGUCUGAUCGGAGUGUCUCGGGUGAAGGUCUAUUCCUUUGAUGAUCGCGACAGCUUGUCAUGGGCUAAGUUGGGACACCCCUGCAGGGUAUAAACUUUCGAAAGCCGUGCCCGCGGUUAUGUGGCAGAUGGGAAUUUGUUAAUGUCCGGUUGUAGACAACUUGACACCAGAUCCGAAUUAAAACGCAUCAACCGAGUGUGUAGCCGUGAUGGUCUCUUCUCGGUGGAGUCCGGGAAGUGAACACGGUUUCUGGGUUAUGUUUGACGUAAGUAGGUGUUCAGGAUCACCUCUUGAUCAUUGCUAGCUUCACGACCGUUCCGCUUGUUCUCUUCUCGCUCUCAUUUGCGUAUGUUAGCCACCAUAUAUGCUUAGCCGCUGCUGCAACCUCACCACUUUACCCUUCCUUUCCCAUUAAGCUUUGCUAGUGUUGAUACCCAUGGUAAUGGGAUUGCUGAGUCCUCGUGACUCACCAGAUACUUCCAAAACCAGUUUGCAGGUGCCUAUGUUACCGAGCAGGUGACGCAACCAAGCUCAAGGAGGAGCUCGAUGAAGAUCUUGCCCUUUGUGUUGUUUCGUUCUAGUUGAUCAGUAGUGGAGCCCAGUUGGGGUCGAUCGGGGACCUUUGUCGCAUUUGGGGUUCUCCUUUUAUUUUGGUUCCGUAGUCGGACCUUGUUUGUAUCUGGAUGAUGUAAUGCUUUACUCAUGUAAUUGUGUGAAGUGGCGAUUGUAAGCCAACUAUGUAUCUCUUUCCCUUAUGUAUUACUUGGGUUGUGUGAAGAUUACCUCACUUGCGACAUUGCUUCCAAUGCGGUUAUGCCUCUAAGUCGUGCUUCGACACGUGGGAGAUAUAGCCGCAUCGAGGGCGUUACAAGUUGGUAAUCAGAGCCUUCCCCUACCUUAGGAGCCCCACUGCUUGAUCGUUUUUAGCGGCCGAGUUGUGUCUAGAAAAAUGUUUUGAGUCAUUUAGGAUUAUAUAUAUCGGAGAGUUAGGAAUUCUUUUUACUCCUCAGUCCCUUCGUCGCUCUGGUGAGGUAUCCUGACGUAGAGUUUUGACUCUUCUCUUCUCAAAUUUCACUAAAUUUUUUUUAGGAUCACGCGGGUAUCUUAGAAUCGUUCCGAUGGUUUUAUGAUGAGAACAUUGUCUUGGUGCCUCCCGUCAGCAGGGGUUUAGUGGAGGUGUCCCGGGGAGUUGAGCUCUAAGGUGUUGUCGUCAUAAUUUUAUCGUUGCAGUUCUGGAAUACCUGAGUUUAGUACGCCGACAUAGAAAAUCUCUUUUAUGCAGUUGUUGGUGAGAUAACCCCGAUAACCCAGUACUGAGGUGAGUACGGGAGUAUUGCCAUGACUCGUAUAACGGAUGCUUUUCGAAGGUUGAGGUACACGAUUUCCGAAGGUUUCUUGGUUAUGUGUUGACGGAUGGAUACAGCUGGAUGUAGGGAUUGUUAGUUUGGGUGAGAUAUAUUGCUUCCCCUGUAUCCCCAACACCAGAUUGCAUAACCAGAAAGUUUCGGGAGUUUUAUAGGUGGGAAUUCAAGUAGCUCCUAGAAUAUCUUUCCGACAGAUGCAUGAUAUGGGAUUGGGUAAAUCUCUAUCAUAUGUUUGUUCCGGCUUAUUCUGCAAGCCAAAUCCUUUGUUUUGUUUUAUUUGUGGUAUUCGAGUUGCUUCGAAGUCAAAUGUUGAAUCCAUACCUUUCCUAAACGGUGUUCUCAUAUUGCUAUGUGAAUACCAAUCCUUCUCGACAAUCGAGAUUGUCAUGUUAAUUCUUUUCCAACCGGUGCGUUUCUCUUCGAGAUGAUCCUAUCAUUCUCCCCAUCCGCAAGAUCAUUUCUAAGUUUUCUCAACGGUGUUUGUUUCAUCCGUCCCCAAGUUGCCUUUGUUUUCCCGCCCUCCCACCCUUUUUCUUCAAGAUCUCAGAUUUCUUAAUCAUGUAUCCUAUUAUUUGUGGGAAGUCUCUUCAUUCUUUUCUUUCGAUGUUCUUAUCCGGCGAUUUCCCAUGAAAAUGCUCACGAGCUUCAAGUUCAUCAUCCUUCAUUAUUGUUUCUUCUCCAGUGGAUCCUAUUCAAGCUUUCGAUAUUCAUCUUAUUCCUUUCCUCGUUUCUAAUGCUUUCUCAUACCGGUGCACCUCAUUAUCAUUCUACUUCUCGCUAUUUGUUAUUUUGGAGUGCUCAAGAUAUCUCGAAGAUUCGUGUUUCCACUCUACAUUCGUUCAAGCUCUUUAGAGAUUGGUAUCUCAUUCAAGUCAUUUAAUUCAACCGGUGCAACAUCUCUUUUAAAUCUUUUCAACGGUGUUCUUUUGAGUGGGCCCUAACCCACAGGUCUUUUCCCAGGAUCUUACCUGACUCUUCUAUUUUCCCAGAGCUAUCCUAAAUUCUUCUCCAAGUUUGACGUAAGAAUGAGUUAUCAUCAGUCAAAUGCUUUUCUCCAAGAUCUUUCAAAUUCUUUUCAUAGUUGGCUCAACCUCUUCGCUUUUGAUUCUUCCGGUGUGCCUCAAUAAUUCUCGUUGGUGUUUCUCGUUGUCAUUCUCAUCAUUUGAAGACCGAAGAAGGAUUUCUCUUAAAUCUUGGUCCUUUCUCUUGAAUAUUCAUGGUUCUAGCUUCAUGCUAUCCUCAUAAUUGUUUUGAUUGUGACAAUUCUUUUCUUACCAUCCGGAGCAUUUCAUGAGUUGUUUUCCAUUUCUUUCCUCCGAAGGCCAUCAUGUCAAAAUUCUUCAUUCUCAGUGUGGAGCUAUCGUUCUCCAAAUCUUACCGGUGAUUCGUUCAAAUACCCUCUAAUCAGUUCAUGAUCUCUUCGUUCUCAUGUAUCUAAAUCCCCUCAAAUAUCUUCAUUCAUUUUCCAAUUCUUCCCGGUGAAUUGUGCCCUUGCUACUCUCUUUUUCAAUUCUUACGGUGGUUCUUUCAAGAUCUCUCUUCCUUGUUCAUCAUAUCAAUUCAUUCAUUCUUUCCAAUCCUACCGGUGGUUCGUUGAAGACCUUCUCAAGUUUUGAUAUAUCUAUUUUAAUCCUUUCUACGAGAAUAAGUAGUAUGCCAGAUCCGUUGUUUGUCAUCAAUUUAAAUUGGUGAAGGAUAUGCAUAACAUAAUUCUUGUUCUUGUUUCAUCCAAGUGAUUAAUUCCUUCUUUCGGAGUUUGUUCAUGAUGAAUAACUUCUCGGUUUCAGUUGUUUCAUCUUUUUUUUCCCGGAGUUCCAAGCUCUCAUCAUCACGAAGAUCCAUCUAAAUCAUUGCAAGGAUUCACCUUGUGUUUUCAACUUCUCUUUCUUUCUAUCACCCUUUUGUUUACCGGAGUUCUUCAUGGAGGCUCUACAUGGUGCUCAACGCAUGUUUUGUUUUGGGGAGUUCAAGUAUUCUUCAUCUUGCAUUUCGAAGUGCGAUUCUUUCGACCUUAUCUCUUGAGAUGGUGUUAUGUCACUCUUGACAAUUUCCAUUCAUGUUUCAUGAUUCAUAUGUUGUCAAGAAUGAGGUAUUCUAAAUCCAUCUUUUUCUCUUCGUUCAAGAGAUCGUUUCAACCAAUCAACUUCUUCGUUGGAGUUAUCUUGGGUUAUAUUUCACCUAAAGCUUUCCCUAAGGAUUGUUGCUAUUUAUGGUGUUUAUAAAUGACCCAAGUUCUUCUUUAUCCUCCCGGUGAUAUAGCUUUCUCGUCGCCUUGUUCAUAUCAAUGAAAUUCUUUUCCCGUGCUUGGCAGGUUGUCACCUCAUAAUUUGGGAUGCAUUCCUUAAGACCAUAUCAAGCUUAUUCUUUUCGUUGUUGGUUUUUCCAACAAUUCCGUUCUAACCUUCUUGGAAGGUUGCUUUCCAAGUUCGCUUGUGGCAGAAGUUGUCAUUUUCUUCUCCGUCCCUUUAUUCCAAUGAUUUAUCUUCUAUUCUUUCUUCCGAAGGCAUUGUGAUGUUGUGCUCUUCACCCAUCACCUCGUUUUGUGAGGAUCGUGUUCUUUUCUUGCUUAUCCAUUUAACGGGAGCGUUGUAUCAUCUCUUCAAUAUCUUUUCAUCUCAUCAAGUUUUCUUCUCUUUUCUACCAGAGUGCUGUCCAAAUUCUGUUAUUCUUGUUCCUUGGCUAUCUCAUUAUACCAAUGUGGCCAUAUUCUUUUCGUUCAUGAAGCGCUUAUUUCCAUGUCUUUCAACCUUCAAGUUCUCGUAAUACUACUUGUUCAUCUUUUCUAACGGAUUGUUUGCAAUCUCGUUCAUCUCUGUUGUUACUCUUUCUUUUAAAUUGCUCAACCUCUCAAGGUUCAUGGUUUCACUCGUUCAUCAAAGAAGCAACUUAGUUUUACCUCUUCUCUUCCUCUUCCGUUUUCCCUCCGGUGCCAUCCUAGAUCUCGGGACGAAAUCCUCUCGUAGUGGUGGAGUGUUGUAACGCCCCGGAUCCGAUGCGGAGGUGUCCGCCAGUUAUUCGCCGUCGUUGCCAUGUCAUUUGCUUGCGUGUUGCACGUUGCCAUGUCAUCAUAUGCAUUUCAUAUCAUGUCAUCAUGUGCAUUUCAUUUUGCAUACGUGUUCGUCUCAUGCAUCCGAGCCUUUUCCCCGUUGUCCGUUUUGCAAUCCGGCGCUCCUAUGUCCUCCGGCGUCCCCUUCUUCUCUCCUGUUGUGAGCGGGUGUUAAACGUUCUCGGAAUGGACCGAGGUUUGCCAAGCGGCCUUGGUAUAGCACCGGUAGACCGCCUGUCAAGUUUCGUGCCAUUUGGAGGUCGUUUGAUACUCCAACGGUUAACCGGGUAACCGUAAAGCCCUCUUUGAGUUGCAGCCCAACACCCCUUCCAAAGUGGCCCAAAACCCAUCUAACUCCCCUCCAUGCUCUCGGUCGUUCGAUCACGAUCGCGUGGCCGAAAACUGCUCCUCAUUUGGACUCUCCUAGCUCCCUCUACCUAUAAAUAUGCCCUCCCCUCCAAAUUCGCGGUCUAAUCCCCCGAAACCCUAGCAGAAUUCCUCCUCGCGCCGCCGGACGCGUCCGUCCCCGGCCGGACAUGUCCGCCGGCCACGUCGUCCGAGCCAAUCAGCGCCCGUCAAGUCAGCAGCGCCGCCGCCUCGCCCAAUGGCCUCGCGCCACCUGUCGCCGCCGCCUCCCACCNNNNNNNNNNNNNNNNNNNNNNNNNNNNNNNNNNNNNNNNNNNNNNNNNNNNNNNNNNNNNNNNNNNNNNNNNNNNNNNNNNNNNNNNNNNNNNNNNNNNNNNNNNNNNNNNNNNNNNNNNNNNNNNNNNNNNNNNNNNNNNNNNNNNNNNNNNNNNNNNNNNNNNNNNNNNNNNNNNNNNNNNNNNNNNNNNNNNNNNNNNNNNNNNNNNNNNNNNNNNNNNNNNNNNNNNNNNNNNNNNNNNNNNNNNNNNNNNNNNNNNNNNNNNNNNNNNNNNNNNNNNNNNNNNNNNNNNNNNNNNNNNNNNNNNNNNNNNNNNNNNNNNNNNNNNNNNNNNNNNNNNNNNNNNNNNNNNNNNNNNNNNNNNNNNNNNNNNNNNNNNNNNNNNNNNNNNNNNNNNNNNNNNNNNNNNNNNNNNNNNNNNNNNNNNNNNNNNNNNNNNNNNNNNNNNNNNNNNNNNNNNNNNNNNNNNNNNNNNNNNNNNNGACGCCCUGCCUCCGCCCGACGCCGCCGGCGCCGGAUCCGGCCAGAUCCGGCCGCCCCGGCCACUUCCCCGACCUCCGGCGUCCUCCUCCCGCAAGUCCGGCGACUCCCCGGCGAAUUCCGGCGAGCUCUCCGGCGUGCAUCAAUAACCGUGCCUGCAGGUUGACCCCCCCGAUUGUCUAAGUCCCCAGUUUUUGAUAUUUUCAUGCCAUAUUCAUCCUGCUACAUCUCUGCAUCCGUAGCUCCGUUUUGCGCGUGUAAUAUGUCAAAUUGUUUGCCCGACGAGUACUUCAUUUCAUUCCAUUGCAUCAUUUUCAUUUGAGCUCAUCUUGAUGUCCGAAAUGCUGUUGGAAGAGUGCAUGUUGAUGUUAAUCUGCUGAAACUGUUAUAACUUGCUGUUUUAUCAUUUUUGCCAUGAUUGAUGUGUGCAUCCUAUGAGGUUGAGCUCUACAUGAAUGUUGAACUAUGCCAUGCCAUCUUUCCAGGGGUGUUAACCAUGUAUUUUUGUGAGUUGUGUGCUGAGUGUAUCAAGCUGGUUAAGUAGGGUAGUUGCUGUUGCUGUUUUCCUGACAGAUUCUGUUAUAUUUUGUUGCUAUGUUAACAUGCCUCUACUAAUCAUUCUAUGCAUAAUCUGGAGAUGCUCUAUAAACAUGUUUUGAACUACAUGUCAUGCUCUAUCCAUUCAUGCCCUUGGUUGCAAUUAUAGCCUGCUGGAACAUGUUGUAAGCUUGCUCUAAAGUUGCUUGAAAAUGUUAAUGUCAACCUGUUAACAUUAAGUUCACUUGUUCCCAUGUGUUUUCCUAGUGAUCCAUGUACCCUAUGAACUUGCUCUUGCCAUGCUUAGCUUCAUAAACAUGCCUUCUUACUGUUGGUUGCCUUGCCAUGCCAUGUAUUGCUCUGUGGUGAGUGAUUCAAGCUCACGAACAUGCCUACUUAUUGUUGUUCCUGCCAAGUUAUGAAUCUGUAAUAUAACUUGCCAUGUUUACAUGGGUGCCAUCAUAUUUUCUAUGCCUUUUUAGCUCAUGGUCAGUAAGGGUCUUUUGAUAUAUGCUAUUAGUAGAUUCAUGCCAUGCCUUUGUUUGCCAUGUUAAGUUCCUGUAACAUGUUGUUUGAUAGCUCUGAACAUUGCAACCUGAUGUUAUUUCCUGAUAAGUCUGAAACUGUUAUUAUUUGCAAUAUCUCCAUGUCUUUUUGAGCAUGUUCUAGUUGUUUCUGGAGAUAGCUCAGUGUUCAUGUUUUGUUAUGCUUUACGUGUACUUCAUGCCCAUGUCUUUUGUUAUUAUGUUGGGGUGCUGUAGCAUGUUGUUUUGAUGCUUGUAAGAUGCCUAGUUGCUGUUAUGGACAGAUUGUUGCUAUGACUUGUAUAGAGUGUGUGUGUCGAACCGUUGCUCCGUUUUGAGUGUGCUCUAUAUGAAACUUGCUUGAUUUUGCAUGUUGUUUCAUAUUAUCAUGUUGCAUCCUUGUUUUGGUGUGUUUGCUUGAUGUUUGUUUGCAUUUUGCAUCAAUGCCAUGUUUAACUUGUUUUGCUCAUAUCUUCUAGGCCGUAGCUCCGAAUAUAAUGAACCUUAUAUGUAACUUGACUAGAAUUUCGUGUAGAUUCUCUUGGUGAUCUUUAACUUGCUGUUUAAAAACUUCAACAUAAGGUUUAUUCAGUUCUGGACCAAUUUCGAAAUAUGCAUAUGAGGACUUACCAGAAUUGUUAUAUGUUGUUCCCGGCCUCAUUUAAACUUGCCUUGAUGUGUUGUUCUUGUUUGCAUCAUCUCUUGCCAUGAGUAGCUUCAUUUAGCUUGGUCAUGCAUCAUGCUUGUUGUGCAUCAUGUCUUGUUCAUGUGUGGUGUGUUUACCUAUGUUGUGUGCUUCUUCUUGUUAGUUCCUGUUUUGUUGCGAUCGUGAGGAUCCGUUCGUCUUCUUCAUGGACUCGUUGUUCUUCCUUGCGGGAUUUCAGGCAAGAUGACCGCUACCCUGGAUCUCACUACUAUCAUUGCUAUGCUAGUUGCCUCGUUCUUUCGCUAUGCUGCGCUACCUAUUACCUGUUUGUCCAGCCAUCCCAAAUUGCCAUGAACCUGUAACCUUUGACACCAUUCCUAGCAAACCGUUGUUUGGCUAUGUUACCGCUUUGCUCAGCCCCUCUUAUAGCGUUGCUAGUUACAGGUGAAGUUGAAGAUUUCUCCAUGGUGGACAGGGUUUAUGUUGGGAUAUCACAAUAUCUCUUAUAAUACUAAUGCAUCUAUAUAUUUGGUAAAGGGUGGAAGGCUCGGCCUUAUGCCUGGUGUUUUGUUCCACUCUUGCCGCCCUAGUUUCUGUCAUACCGGUGUUAUGUUCCCGGAUUUUGCGUUCCUAACGCGGUCGGGUGAUUUAUGGGACCCCCUUGACAGUUCGCUUUGAAUAAAACUUGUCCAGCAAGGCCCAACAUUGACUUUUACCAUUUGCCUCACCACCACCUACUUUUCCCUUGGGAGUAAUUAACCCAAGGGUCAUCUUUAUUAUAGCCCCCCCGGGCCAGUGCUUGUCUAAGCGUUGGUCCAAACUAGAGCACCGUGCGGGACCAUCCCUUGGCAACUUGGGUUACGUCGGUACCUGUACGCUUCGCUUAUCCGGUGUUGCCCUGAGAACGAGAUAUGUGCAGCUCCUAUCGGGAUUGUCGGCACAUCGGGCGGCUUUGCUGGUCUUGUUUUACCAUUGUCGAAAUGUCUUGAUGUACCGGGAUACCGAGUCUGAUCGGAGUGUCUCGGGUGAAGGUCUAUUCCUUCGAUGAUCGCGACAGCUUGUCAUGGGCUAAGUUGGGACACCCCUGCAGGGUAUAAACUUUCGAAAGCCGUGCCCGCGGUUAUGUGGCAGAUGGGAAUUUGUUAAUGUCCGGUUAUAGACAACUUGACACCAGAUCCGAAUUAAAACGCAUCAACCGAGUGUGUAGCCGUGAUGGUCUCUUCUCGGCGGAGUCCGGGAAGUGAACACGGUUUCUGGGUUAUGUUUGACGUAAGUAGGUGUUCAGGAUCACCUCUUGAUCAUUGCUAGCUUCACGACCGUUCCGCUUGUUCUCUUCUUGCUCUCAUUUGCGUAUGUUAGCCACCAUAUAUGCUUAGCCGCUGCUGCAACCUCACCACUUUACCCUUCCUUUCCCAUUAAGCUUUGCUAGUCUUGAUACCCAUGGUAAUGGGAUUGCUGAGUCCUCGUGACUCACCAGAUACUUCCAAAACCAGUUUGCAGGUGCCUAUGUUACCGAGCAGGUGACGCAACCAAUCUCAAGGAGGAGCUCGAUGAAGAUCUUGCCCUUUGUGUUGUUUCGUUCUAGUUGAUCAGUAGUGGAGCCCAGUUGGGGUCGAUCGGGGACCUUUGUCGCAUUUGGGGUUCUCCUUUUAUUUUGGUUCCGUAGUCGGACCUUGUUUGUAUCUGGAUGAUGUAAUGCUUUACUCAUGUAAUUGUGUGAAGUGGCGAUUGUAAGCCAACUAUGUAUCUCUUUCCCUUAUGUAUUACUUGGGUUGUGUGAAGAUUACCUCACUUGCG